Molecule: ribosomal RNA, 137 nt
Filed under: Anaerolineales bacterium
Lineage: Bacteria; Bacillati; Chloroflexota; Anaerolineae; Anaerolineales
Description: partial 23S ribosomal RNA
Rfam family: Bacterial large subunit ribosomal RNA
Source: RNAcentral
GGAAGCGCGCCCCAAGAUGAGGUCCCCCACCGGGUUAACCGGGUAAGACCGCCGGGAGACUACCGGUUUGAUAGGCGGGAGGGGUAAGCGCAGCAAUGCGUUCAGCUGACCCGUACUAACGGUCGAGGGCUUGACCG